GCAGUCGAACGGAAAUUAUUUUGUCGCAAGAUAAAGUGAAAUCAGUGGCGGACGGGUGAGUAAUAGCAGGGAACGUACCUUUUACUGUGGCAUAGCUCGUCGAAAGACGGGGUAAUAUCGCAUAAUAUCGCAAGAUCAAAGACGCAAGUCGGUAAAAGAGCGGCCCUGUUCCCAUCAGCUAGUUGGUAAGGUAAUGGCUUACCAAGGCUACGACGGGUAGGGGGUGUGAGAGCACGACCCCCCACAAUGGCACUGAGACACGGGCCAUACAUCUACGGAUGGCAGCAACUGGGAAUAUUCGGCAAUGGGCGAAAGCCUGACCGAGCGACGCCGCGUGAGGGAUGAAGUAUUUCGGUAUGUAAACCUCUUUUGCCAGCCCGUCGAGGGUUGGCGAAUAAGCACCUACUAACUACGUGCCAGCAGUCGCGGUAAUACGUAGGGUGCAAGCGUUAUCCGGAUUUACUGGGCGUAAAGAGUCGUGUAGGCGGUUUGUCGCAUCGUACUUGAAAGCCCGAGGCUUAACCUCGGCGUUGGGUACGAGAUGGACAGACUAGAGGGUGGGAGAGGGAAAGGGAACUCAUGGUGGAGCAGUGAAAUGCGUUGAGAUCAUGAGGAACACCAAAGGCGAAGGCACUUUCCUGGCCUACUCCUGACGCUGAGACACGAAAGCCAGGGGAGAGAAGCAGAUUAGAUACCUGCGUAUUCCUGGCCCUAAACGCAUGCCUGCUAGUUGCCCCAACUUUAAGCGCGGAAAGCAAUUUCUGCAUUUAAAGUUGGGGUGACGUAAGCUAACGCGUUAAGCAG
This 804-nucleotide ribosomal RNA is filed under the name bacterium SCGC AAA018-N3. RNAcentral describes it as "SSU rRNA". It matches the Rfam family "Bacterial small subunit ribosomal RNA", at positions 57 to 867 of the family's 1533-position model. The record is from RNAcentral.